AGACCCGAAACCCGGUGAUCUAGCCAUGGGCAGGUUGAAGGUUGGGUAACACUAACUGGAGGACCGAACCGACUAAUGUUGAAAAAUUAGCGGAUGACCUGUGGCUGGGGGUGAAAGGCCAAUCAAACCGGGAGAUAGCUGGUUCUCCCCGAAAGCUAUUUAGGUAGCGCCUCGUGAAUUCAUCUCCGGGGGUAGAGCACUGUUUCGGCUAGGGGGCCAUCCCGGCUUACCAACCCGAUGCAAACUGCGAAUACCGGAGAAUGUUAUCACGGGAGACACACGGCGGGUGCUAACGUCCGUCGUGAAGAGGGAAACAACCCAGACCGCCAGCUAAGGUCCCAAAGUCAUGGUUAAGUGGGAAACGAUGUGGGAAGGCCCAGACAGCCAGGAUGUUGGCUUAGAAGCAGCCAUCAUUUAAAGAAAGCGUAAUAGCUCACUGGUCGAGUCGGCCUGCGCGGAAGAUGUAACGGGGCUAAACCAUGCACCGAAGCUGCGGCAGCGACACUCAGGU
This 511-nucleotide ribosomal RNA is filed under the name Salmonella enterica. RNAcentral's name for it is "partial 23S ribosomal RNA". It matches the Rfam family "Bacterial large subunit ribosomal RNA", at positions 711 to 1221 of the family's 2925-position model. RNAcentral also lists the same sequence under 2 other names. Lineage: Bacteria; Pseudomonadati; Pseudomonadota; Gammaproteobacteria; Enterobacterales; Enterobacteriaceae. The record is from RNAcentral.